Molecule: transfer RNA, 77 nt
Filed under: compost metagenome
Description: tRNA-Asn
Rfam family: tRNA
About the family: Transfer RNA (tRNA) molecules are approximately 80 nucleotides in length.
Source: RNAcentral
UCCGUAUGACCGAUCAAGGCGAUGGGGCUUGGCUGUUAACCAAGAUGUGCGUGGUUCGAUUCCACGAUACGGAGCCA